UUUUUGUGGCUUCCCUGUCUAAAUCUGCCAUUCUUCACUAUUAAGGUCAAGGCUGACUGAGAGAGGUAGCCUCUAACAGCCUUUUUAGGAAUAUUCUUCUGUGUAUAUGUAGGCUGGUUUAGAAUAGCAAGACCCCAGAGGAAGGGAGAAAAAAAUAGCAGCUGUUACUGGUAUCUCAAGGUUUUGGGGACCAUUAGUGUUGGAGCCAGCAUGGUCUCAGUGACAGCAUGCUUCAGAAAGCCAACGCUCUAGAAAAUAGAUCGUGUAGAUAACGGUGGCCUCUGAGAGCACUCUGCAUUCUUCACUCAGAAUCACAUGUGCAGUUGAUCUAAGAUAACUUAGAUCUUAGAUCCCUGUCAAAAUGGAUUCAUUUCUGUUCUCUUUCCCAGAGGACCCUAACAGUAAUUCUUUCUGCUCUGAAGAUAUGCCAAGACCACAAGAAUUUGAAUGCCAUAGAACACCUGCAAACCAGGCAAGAAGGAAACAAAGAAGUCAGAAAUUUUUUUAUUUGCCUUUUUGCUAUGAAGUAUAUAUAAAUCCUCAAAAGAUAUUUCCUUACAUUACAUUUUAAAAUAUAGACACAUUAAAAUCAUUUAAGCUUUCAAAUUUUAACUAGAAAAAUAUCAGGAUUAAGUAAUACUAAAUGCCAAC
RNAcentral lists this long non-coding RNA (651 nucleotides) under Microcebus murinus (gray mouse lemur). Its description in RNAcentral is "lncRNA (ENSMICG00000048230.1)". The record is from RNAcentral. Lineage: Eukaryota; Metazoa; Chordata; Mammalia; Primates; Cheirogaleidae.